This is a long non-coding RNA of Dendrobium catenatum, 654 nucleotides long. RefSeq lists it as uncharacterized. The transcript is spliced from 2 exons. The record is from RefSeq and is a predicted model, not a curated record. Lineage: Eukaryota; Viridiplantae; Streptophyta; Magnoliopsida; Asparagales; Orchidaceae.
CAGGAUGUAGAGAACAAACUGAAGUUGAAAUAGAUGUUCCAACAAAUACCAUCGAAAAUUAUGUUGCAGUAGGUACAAGCAAUGAGGAGCAAAAACGAAAAAAGAGGUCCAACAUAUAUGUGUAGUAUUUGGGGAUAUCAUGCUACCCAACAUGGUGGAGAACGACUUGUUAAUUUUAACAAGUAUGGUCAACCUAUUGGACAAAAUAAAUCAUUAUUUGUUGAGUUUUUAGGAACUAUUGCUCGGAAUGGGAAAUAUGCACCUAUUGACAUCGAAGUUGAGAUCAAAUGCCAAAGUCUUUAAAAAAAAUAUGUUAGAAGUUAUUCAAGUAUUUAUCUUCAUAAUAUAUCUACUUGUUUUAUUUGAUUUUAGUUACAUUCAUAAAAUAACAAAAUUCUUUGGAUUUAACAAUAAAUAUUUUCUUUUUUUUAGGAGAAAUUUGAGAUUACUCGUGGUAGUGAUGUAUGGGUUCUUCAAUCAAUUGGGAAGAAAUGGAGGAAUUGGAAAGCAGACAUUAAAUCUCGAUAUUAUGAUCCAAAUAUGACUACAGAAUUACAACUAUGUAAUGUGCCAAAAAGGAUACUCAAAGAUCAAUGGAAAAAUCUUCUUUCCUAUUGGAAUUCAGAAGAAUCAAAGGUAUAUUAUCAUAACUUG